RNAcentral lists this small nuclear RNA (23 nucleotides) under Arabidopsis thaliana (thale cress). RNAcentral's name for it is "snRNA_09794". The record is from RNAcentral. Lineage: Eukaryota; Viridiplantae; Streptophyta; Magnoliopsida; Brassicales; Brassicaceae.
CAGAUUUAUAAAUUAUAGCAGAU